GCUCCCAGAUGCAGAGCGGCAGCACGGCCACCAACAGGAGAGCGUAGAGGACCAGGACCAGAGGGCGGAUCCACCUCCUCCACUCGGCACAGGAACACGGCAUCACGGCUGUUUCACCCUCAGCGUCGACUACAGGUGACUAUGCUGAAGCCGAUGGCCUCUGGUACAGCCAGCACCAUGGACAGCAGCCAGACCAUCACUAUCUCCACCGCCGUUACCAUUGGAACACCUGUGCCCUGUACCCGAGACCAGGACGCCACCGCACGAUACCUGGGUACAAGAGCACACAGAUUGAAGACGGUGAUGCCAACUGACGCUUUUUGGAGGAAGGGGAAGAGUUUGCAGAGGAACAGGCCAAAAUCACUGUCGACAAACGGCCACCGGCCGGCCAGGAGCUGCACACGUACAAACACAAGCAUUAAC
Molecule: long non-coding RNA, 423 nt
Organism: Lates calcarifer (barramundi perch)
Lineage: Eukaryota; Metazoa; Chordata; Actinopteri; Centropomidae
Exons: 3
Source: RefSeq, a predicted model, not a curated record